RNAcentral lists this ribosomal RNA (460 nucleotides) under uncultured bacterium. Its description in RNAcentral is "partial 16S ribosomal RNA". It matches the Rfam family "Bacterial small subunit ribosomal RNA", at positions 338 to 795 of the family's 1533-position model. The record is from RNAcentral.
CCUACGGGAGGCAGCAGUGAGGAAUAUUGGUCAAUGGACGAAAGUCUGAACCAGCCAAGUAGCGUGAAGGAUGACUGCCCUAUGGGUUGUAAACUUCUUUUAUAUGGGAAUAAAAUGUUCCACGUGUGGGAUUUUGUAUGUACCAUAUGGAUAAGGAUCGGCUAACUCGGGGCCAGCAGCCGCGGUAAUACGGAGGAUCCGAGCGUUAUCCGGAUUUAUUGGGUUUAAAGGGAGCGUAGGUGGAUUGUUAAGUCAGUUGUGAAAGUUUGCGGCUCAACCGGGAAAUUGCAGUUGAAACUGGCAGGCUUGAGUACAGUAGAGGUGGGCGGAAUUCGUGGUGUAGCGGUGAAAUGCGUAGAUAUCACGAAGAACUCCGAUUGCGAAGGCAGUUCACUGGACUGCAACUGACACUGAGGCUCGAAAGUGUGGGUAUCAAACAGGAUUAGAUACCCCUGUAGUC